This 19-nucleotide transfer RNA is filed under the name Colostethus sp. 'conspicuous'. RNAcentral's name for it is "partial tRNA-Phe". Lineage: Eukaryota; Metazoa; Chordata; Amphibia; Anura; Dendrobatidae. The record is from RNAcentral. RNAcentral also lists the same sequence under 1 other name.
CUAAAAGUUCUCCAACACA